CAAUAGCGUAUAUUUAAGUUGCUGCAGUUAAAAAGCUCGUAGUUGGAUUUCGGGUGGGAAUGGCCGGUCCGCCGUUUCGGUGUGCACUUGCUACGCCCACCUUGCUGCCGGGGACGUGCUCUUGAGUUCACGCUCGGGACACGGAGUCGGCGAGGUUACUUUGAGUAAAUUAGAGUGUUCAAAGCAGACCUGAUUAUGUCUGAAUAUUCGUGCAUGGAAUAAUAAAAUAAGAACUUGGUUCUAUUUUAUUGGUUUUCGGAACUCGAGUUAAUGAUUAAGAGGGACAGACGGGGGCAUCCGUACUCUGCCGUUAGAGGUGAAAUUCUUGGAUCGGCGGAAGACGCGCAACUGCGAAAGCAUUUGCCAAGAAUGUUUUCUUUAA
This 382-nucleotide ribosomal RNA is filed under the name uncultured eukaryote. RNAcentral's name for it is "partial 18S ribosomal RNA". It matches the Rfam family "Eukaryotic small subunit ribosomal RNA", at positions 592 to 976 of the family's 1831-position model. The record is from RNAcentral.